Molecule: non-coding RNA, 113 nt
Organism: Acanthosepion pharaonis
Lineage: Eukaryota; Metazoa; Mollusca; Cephalopoda; Sepiida; Sepiidae
Source: the annotation of a GenBank genome assembly
UUACGACCACAUCACGUCGAAACAUCUAUUCCCGUACGGUCACCGAAGUUAAGCAACGUCAAGCCUGGUCAGUACCUAGAUGGGUGACCACUUGGGAAUACCAGAUCCUGUAA